Non-coding RNA from Equus caballus (horse), 4178 nucleotides. Lineage: Eukaryota; Metazoa; Chordata; Mammalia; Perissodactyla; Equidae. The record is from RefSeq and is a predicted model, not a curated record.
GGGAGACUCCGCGCCUCCCGGUCCUCGGAGCGGUCGAGGGGCCAGCCAAUGGGAGAGGGGGGCGGGGCCUGGGCGCGGCAGGGGCGGGGCCGCCCCGAGAUUUGCGGAGCGUCGCCCCGAGCGGGAGGCUGAGCUGGGGGUUGCCGCCGCCUGGGCUCCCGGUUCCGGGCGGCCCCGUGCGCGAGCGCAGGUACGGUCCUCGGGCGCCGGCUGCUUUCUGGAUCGCUUUACUGCAAAAGGUGGCUGUUAUGAACCCUGCUGGACCUCGAGAGUUUGACUUAGGACCCGUUGCGAGAGCAAAUCAUGGCCUUUAGGGAUGCUCGUACCAGAAGACUUCCAGUCCACGUUUUUAUUAGUGAUCAGAAGGUUCCCUGCCCCCACCCCGACGUGAGUGCAGUGAUGAAACGAAUACUGAGCAGGUACAUGUGGCAGGGCGGUUAAUCCGGACAGCAAUCCCAUAAGGAAGCGUCUGUUAUCCCCGUUUGUACAACCGGUCAACUAGUCCAGAGAAGUGCUGUUUGUUCUGUGCUACUUUUAGAAGAAGCCCCCCCCUGCAAAUAGAAGUCAGUGGUGAUCGCAUUAUUCUCCAGAGGACCUGGGCUUCUACUUCAGAGAGAGAAUGAGGACCAUCAAGCACGGAUGUCUACAAUUUUUGCCCAACCAUCUCAUCCAAACCCCACAAAUUACCUAUAUCCACACCCAGGUUUGCUAGCUUUCCUGUGUCUCGCAGGCUGGGUGUCCCCGCUUUUCUCUGAAGCAAACGUCUCCGCUGUCUGCUCCCACCUGUGACCGCCUCUUUGACGCAUCUUUAACCUUGUCCUUUCUAUUGGGUACAACUCUGCAGCACAGUCACAUUUUAAGACUUUUCUGCCUUAAAUUUUCCCAUGAUUUUACAACCUCGUUCUAGUUCUCUCUUCUUUCAUCAUAAUUAAGCUUUUGAAAGAAUUUUGUACCAAGAGCAGCGUUGACCCUCCAUGAAUAUUUUUAGGAUUCAAUAAAUAUCUUCUGACUGAAUGAAUGUACAUUCUCCUCUCCGUUGCAUCAGCUCCUACCCUCUGACUUCAUACCUGGAUUUGAAGCACACUAUAUCCACAAUAAUUCUAAAAUAGGCAUCUGAACAUGUUGCUCCACUGCUUAAAAUCUUUCACUGGCUCAUCGGAACUUUCAAGACAAAGAUUAACAGGGUCUUCAAGGCUCCUUUCAUGCUUGCAUGCUCUGUCUCUCCUGUUAUGCCAAACUCUUCAGAGUCCCCUGAUUGCGCGCGCUCAUCUCUGCUUUAAUGAGUACUGUUUCCUCUGACCUUUUCCUUAGCUUUUUGCUGGUCCAGACCAUUUGAAAGUAAAUCCAAGAACACGCUUACAAGCGCGUUCUCAGCCGUCACACCUGCGUACCCAGCAGAAGUCUGCACACCACCUGCAGAACGCUUCCAGGCCUCCUGCUUCCAUCUCUGCCAUGUCUCACUUUCAGCUCUCCUGAGUCCUCAGUUUCCCUCCUCAGUUCAGCUCCAUUCAGAAGCUGCUAAUAUUCACCUAGGCCCCAAAGUUGACAGCCAAUAUUGAACCAACCUUUUAUUAUUAAAUAUUUCUUUGGUUUCAAAUGAACACUAUUAUAAAUAUCUUUUCAUAAAUCCUUGUCCAUGUCCUUACUGCCUCAAGUCCUGAAAAGUAAUCAAAGGUAUGAACACUUUUAGCCUUUUAGAAACAUGUUGGCAAGCUGCCUUCCAGGAAGAACAUAGGCUCAAGUGUCACAUGGCCUGGGGUCAAAUCGCAGUUCUGCCACCUGGGGCCACGUUCUGAUUUUCAUGGGCCCUAGAUGCUUUUACCUUUGUGGCCACUUCUGCCACAAAAUAAUAUUAAAAAUUAUAUUUAUAACUGCAUUGGUUUAAGGACAGCAUAUUGAUGUUAUAUAGUAAAAUGUUUUCUUUGACCAUAGCAUUCAUUUUUUUUCUUCUGAUUUUAAAAGAAGUUAAAACAUUUUAUGGGCGUCUGAAAUUGUGGUGAGCCUGAGGCACUGUGCCCACUGUGACAAUUGGAUAAGUCAACCCUGCUGCGACCUACAGGCUAUGAGAUUUGGCCAAAUUCCUUAAUCUGGCUGUGCCUCAACCAGAAAAUUGGUGUAACGCGGCCAUAUGAUGUUGUAGCAAAAAGUAAAUAAGUUGUUACAAAUAAAAUACUUAGAAGUACAUGGCACAUAAUCAAUACGUUACCGUCAUUAUAACUUUUAGUCUCAAUUUUCCCACAGAGGUAUAUGAGAGUAUACGAUUGUCCUUCUUCACUGUGCCAAAGUCAUCAUGGUGUAUUUUUAUAUGGGCAAAUAUGGUUUCUUAUUGUUGGCUCAUUGUCCAUUUUCUUACUGGGGUAUUCACAAAAAGUCACUUUAUAUGAUGUAGAUAUUGAUCCUAGAUAAAGCUAUUGGUCUUUUCCAUUUUUGUUUCCUUCUAUUAUUUUUUGCUUCACAAGUCCUUUCCCAUCCUGAGAUCAUAUCAAUUAUCUGCCUUUAUUUUUACUACGUGUUUGGUAAUUUUGACUUUUCCGUUAAAUAAUUUAAUCCUUUGGGAUUUAUUUUGGAGUGAUGAUCUACCUUUCAUUUUCUCGAAAUGGCUGACGGUCUUCCCCAGCUCAUUUUCUAAAGAAUCCUUCUCCAAGUAUGAUGGUUUUAAAAUAUGUAUGCCCACAAAUUCAUCGAUAUUCCUUCCUUCAAAAAGUGGAGACUAAUUCCCUUCCAAGUGAAUGUGGGCUGUACUUAGUGACUUGCUCCUAAAGGAUACAAUAUAGCAGAAGUGACACUGUGGCCAUCUUAAAAAGGUAUCGUGGCUCCUCCCUACCCCCUCUCAGAUCACUUGCUCUGGGGAAGGCAGUUACCAUGUCAUGAAGACAUUAUCAAGUAGCUUUAUCAGACGCCCAUGUGUCAAAGAGCUGAAUAUCCUGCCAACAACCAGCAAGAAUCUGCAGCCUCUGCCAAUCUCCAUGUGACUGAGCCAUCUUGGAAGCAGGCCUUGGGAUGAUGCAGACAUCUUGACUGCAACCUCAAUAGAGACCUUGAACAAGAACCCCCAGCUGAGUCGCUCCCAAAUGCCUGACCCAUAGUAACUGUUCCAUCUGCACCCUCUAGAGUGGAAAGUUUUUGAGACCAGCUGUUUUAUCUCCUGUGUUCACUGCUGUGUCUCCAGUGCCUAAGACAGAGCCUGACAUACAAUGGGUGCUGAGCUGGAUAACUCUCCACAGAUGAUCCCUUGACUAUACUCUUAGCACCAACACUUGACAAUAGUUGAACAGUGAUGAGUUCUUGACCCAAAGGUGUUCAUCUUAAAAUCAGCCUGUAGCUUAUGACACGGCCUGGAAUAAGGGCUCUGCGGACAGUCUCCUGGAAGAUGAUAGCAGUGUCAGACACUCAGAGAGAGAUACAGAUAACAGAAUGGCAUGGAAACAAAGAGGCUUUACAGAAAGAAGCAGUGAUCAGAAGCCGUGAGGUAAAAGUAAAAAGCCAGGUGGAAGUGGCAGUGAAAUAGAAACAGCCAUGGUAGAAGUAAAGAUAAGUUUAGCCACAAAUAUGGAGGAGAAGCUAGAGUAGAGAGCAACGGGCACUUGCUGCUGAGGGGUCAUCGGACGAACAGGACUCGCAGCUGGAUUAUUAUAAUUGUGGAGACACUGCGCACCUGAGCAUCCUGACUGGCAUUCCAGUUUCCCUGGAGACCUGGCCAUAUGACUGUUGAGAGGCGGUUUGUUCAUAUGUCCCUUUGUAUCAACUGAAAUUACCUACGUAUGGCUUUUUUGCUGCCUGAAAAGACCCAACUAAUGCAAGUAUUUUUUAAAAAUAUUGCUAGAUUUAAUUUUCCACUCUUCGUUUGGAGGAUUUAGCUAUAGUUUUUCUUCUGUGUGUGUGUGUAUGUGUGCACACGUGCAUGUGCACGCAAUAUGUGCAUACUAACUUUGUAGGUUAAAUUUUUUCUGUUACAUCCUGUUAACUUCUCUGGUGGGCCCUCUAUAUUAUCUGCCUUCUCAGUGAUACUUUGCUAGGUUUGGCAAAAUUACUUGCAAUUUACAGGUGCUAUUGUUGCAUAACUUUCCUUUACCCUUGUAUUUGAUGAGUGUAUCUCAGAUAGAGAAUCUGUGUUUUGUUAAUCCAUUGCUUUGUGAAACUGAGUGCCAAAUUCCAAAUAAAAAUUCAAAACUUUUAAA